AGCUCCAUGCCAGCCUGAGUUCCAUCCUGCGGGCAGCCUCCACCCCAUCAGAGGUGCAAGAAUGGGUUUGGUGCUGAAAACUGUGAAAUGAAAGGAAUCUGGCGACUGGACUUUGCAUGUCAUGCGCUGCCUGGUGGUCCAGGAAGGUAUAUAAAGCCCUUCAUGGUUCAGAGAUCUUCCAGCAGAUUCUCUUGACUUCUCCUCGGUGAACUGGGUCUCCAGCACAGCUGAAAGAUGUCCUGCCAGAAAACCGUGUGCGCUGAGCCAUGCGCUGCCCCGUGCGAUGGAAAAGGCCCCGAGCCCCGUGCUGCGGCCUGCAAUGAGCCCUGUGUCAUCGCCUGCCCAGACUCCCGUG
Long non-coding RNA from Cuculus canorus (common cuckoo), 355 nucleotides. RefSeq lists it as uncharacterized. The record is from RefSeq and is a predicted model, not a curated record. The transcript has 3 exons. Lineage: Eukaryota; Metazoa; Chordata; Aves; Cuculiformes; Cuculidae.